AAAUUGAAGAGUUUGAUCAUGGCUCAGAUUGAACGCUGGCGGCAGGCCUAACACAUGCAAGUCGAACGGUAACAGGAAGCAGCUUGCUGCUUUGCUGACGAGUGGCGGACGGGUGAGUAAUGUCUGGGAAACUGCCUGAUGGAGGGGGAUAACUACUGGAAACGGUGGCUAAUACCGCAUAACGUCGCAAGACCAAAGAGGGGGACCUUCGGGCCUCUUGCCAUCAGAUGUGCCCAGAUGGGAUUAGCUUGUUGGUGAGGUAACGGCUCACCAAGGCGACGAUCCCUAGCUGGUCUGAGAGGAUGACCAGCCACACUGGAACUGAGACACGGUCCAGACUCCUACGGGAGGCAGCAGUGGGGAAUAUUGCACAAUGGGCGCAAGCCUGAUGCAGCCAUGCCGCGUGUAUGAAGAAGGCCUUCGGGUUGUAAAGUACUUUCAGCGGGGAGGAAGGUGUUGCGGUUAAUAACCGCAGCAAUUGACGUUACCCGCAGAAGAAGCACCGGCUAACUCCGUGCCAGCAGCCGCGGUAAUACGGAGGGUGCAAGCGUUAAUCGGAAUUACUGGGCGUAAAGCGCACGCAGGCGGUCUGUCAAGUCGGAUGUGAAAUCCCCGGGCUCAACCUGGGAACUGCAUUCGAAACUGGCAGGCUUGAGUCUUGUAGAGGGGGGUAGAAUUCCAGGUGUAGCGGUGAAAUGCGUAGAGAUCUGGAGGAAUACCGGUGGCGAAGGCGGCCCCCUGGACAAAGACUGACGCUCAGGUGCGAAAGCGUGGGGAGCAAACAGGAUUAGAUACCCUGGUAGUCCACGCCGUAAACGAUGUCUACUUGGAGGUUGUGCCCUUGAGGCGUGGCUUCCGGAGCUAACGCGUUAAGUAGACCGCCUGGGGAGUACGGCCGCAAGGUUAAAACUCAAAUGAAUUGACGGGGGCCCGCACAAGCGGUGGAGCAUGUGGUUUAAUUCGAUGCAACGCGAAGAACCUUACCUGGUCUUGACAUCCACAGAACUUUCCAGAGAUGGAUUGGUGCCUUCGGGAACUGUGAGACAGGUGCUGCAUGGCUGUCGUCAGCUCGUGUUGUGAAAUGUUGGGUUAAGUCCCGCAACGAGCGCAACCCUUAUCCUUUGUUGCCAGCGAUUAGGUCGGGAACUCAAAGGAGACUGCCAGUGAUAAACUGGAGGAAGGUGGGGAUGACGUCAAGUCAUCAUGGCCCUUACGACCAGGGCUACACACGUGCUACAAUGGCGCAUACAAAGAGAAGCGACCUCGCGAGAGCAAGCGGACCUCAUAAAGUGCGUCGUAGUCCGGAUUGGAGUCUGCAACUCGACUCCAUGAAGUCGGAAUCGCUAGUAAUCGUGGAUCAGAAUGCCACGGUGAAUACGUUCCCGGGCCUUGUACACACCGCCCGUCACACCAUGGGAGUGGGUUGCAAAAGAAGUAGGUAGCUUAACCUUCGGGAGGGCGCUUACCACUUUGUGAUUCAUGACUGGGGUGAAGUCGUAACAAGGUAACCGUAGGGGAACCUGC
RNAcentral lists this ribosomal RNA (1524 nucleotides) under Salmonella enterica. RNAcentral's name for it is "bacterial SSU rRNA". It matches the Rfam family "Bacterial small subunit ribosomal RNA". Lineage: Bacteria; Pseudomonadati; Pseudomonadota; Gammaproteobacteria; Enterobacterales; Enterobacteriaceae. The record is from RNAcentral.